UAUCAGCUGUUGGGCGUGCAUUCAAUUCCGUAGCAUUUGACUUUUAUUAAUUUUUUGUUAUUAAAAAAGCAUAUUAUUAAUGAAGGCGAUAAUACAAAGGGUUUCUGCCGCAAAAGUAACUGUUGGCGACGAGCUUAUUAGUUCCAUUGGACGUGGUCUUUGCGUGCUCGUGGGUAUAACACAUUCGGACACAGAAAAGGAUGUGGAAUAUAUCUAUGCAAGGUGACGCGGCCCAAAAGUUAUAUAACUCAUUUCUUAAACGUUUGGGUAAGGAUUAUGAUGGGGCGAAAGUUAAAGAUGGUAAAUUUGGUGCUUACAUGCAAGUUCACAUUCAAAACGAUGGUCCUGUUACUGUUGAAUUGGAAUCACCCGUGGAAGAAAGUAA
RNAcentral lists this unclassified non-coding RNA (385 nucleotides) under Bactrocera latifrons. RNAcentral describes it as "d-tyrosyl-tRNA(Tyr) deacylase 1, transcript variant X2". Lineage: Eukaryota; Metazoa; Arthropoda; Insecta; Diptera; Tephritidae. The record is from RNAcentral.